CGGUAAAUGGGGUCGGGCGGAGGUUGGGAGCUUGCUCCCUGAAGUCAGCGGCGGACGGGUGAGUAACACGUGGGCAACCUGCCUGUAAGACUGGGAUAACUCCGGGAAACCGGGGCUAAUACCGGAUAACUCUUUUCCUCACAUGAGGAAAAGCUGAAAGAUGGUUUCGGCUAUCACUUACAGAUGGGCCCGCGGCGCAUUAGCUAGUUGGUGAGGUAACGGCUCACCAAGGCCACGAUGCGUAGCCGACCUGAGAGGGUGAUCGGCCACACUGGGACUGAGACACGGCCCAGACUCCUACGGGAGGCAGCAGUAGGGAAUCUUCCGCAAUGGACGAAAGUCUGACGGAGCAACGCCGCGUGAGUGAUGAAGGUUUUCGGAUCGUAAAACUCUGUUGUCAGGGAAGAACAAGUACCGGAGUAACUGCCGGUACCUUGACGGUACCUGACCAGAAAGCCACGGCUAACUACGUGCCAGCAGCCGCGGUAAUACGUAGGUGGCAAGCGUUGUCCGGAAUUAUUGGGCGUAAAGCGCGCGCAGGCGGUUCCUUAAGUCUGAUGUGAAAGCCCCCGGCUCAACCGGGGAGGGUCAUUGGAAACUGGGGAACUUGAGUGCAGAAGAGAAGAGUGGAAUUCCACGUGUAGCGGUGAAAUGCGUAGAGAUGUGGAGGAACACCAGUGGCGAAGGCGACUCUUUGGUCUGUAACUGACGCUGAGGCGCGAAAGCGUGGGGAGCAAACAGGAUUAGAUACCCUGGUAGUCCACGCCGUAAACGAUGAGUGCUAAGUGUUAGAGGGUUUCCGCCCUUUAGUGCUGCAGCAAACGCAUUAAGCACUCCGCCUGGGGAGUACGGCCGCAAGGCUGAAACUCAAAGGAAUUGACGGGGGCCCGCACAAGCGGUGGAGCAUGUGGGUUUAAUUCGAAGCAACGCGAAGACCUUACCAGGUCUUGACAUCUCCUGACACCCUAGAGAUAGGGCGUUCCCCUUCGGGGACAGAUGACAGUGUGCAUGAUGUCGUCAGCUCGUGUCGUGAGAUGUGGGUUAAGUCCCGCAACC
This 1056-nucleotide ribosomal RNA is filed under the name Bacillus sp. (in: firmicutes). RNAcentral describes it as "bacterial SSU rRNA". It matches the Rfam family "Bacterial small subunit ribosomal RNA", at positions 49 to 1094 of the family's 1533-position model. The record is from RNAcentral. Lineage: Bacteria; Bacillati; Bacillota; Bacilli; Caryophanales; Bacillaceae.